UUAAAUACAGUGAAUAGGAAGAGUAUAAGACAUUAUAUCUUAUAGAGAGUUAGUGAUUGGUGGAAACUAACAGGUAUAGUUUUAGAAGGUAGCCUAGGAGUAGUUAUAAUGAAAUUAAUAGUAGUUAUAAACGUAAACUUGCGUUAAAAGAUCGAGUGCUUAGCUAAAGCUAGGAACAAAGGUGGUACCACGGAUUAUAAAUAGUUCGUCCUUAUU
Molecule: non-coding RNA, 216 nt
Filed under: Mollicutes bacterium
Lineage: Bacteria; Bacillati; Mycoplasmatota; Mollicutes
Description: T-box sequence
Rfam family: T-box leader
About the family: Uncharged tRNA acts as the effector for transcription antitermination of genes in the T-box leader family. T-boxes are found upstream of many aminoacyl-tRNA synthetase genes and some amino acid biosynthetic genes usually in Gram-positive bacteria.
Source: RNAcentral